RNAcentral lists this ribosomal RNA (256 nucleotides) under uncultured bacterium. RNAcentral describes it as "partial 16S ribosomal RNA". It matches the Rfam family "Bacterial small subunit ribosomal RNA", at positions 524 to 776 of the family's 1533-position model. The record is from RNAcentral.
UACGAAGGGGGGCGAGCGUUUGUUCGGAUUUACUGGGCGUAAAGGGCGCGCAGGCGGCUUUGUUUGUCAGGCGUGAAAGCCCCGGGCUUAACCUGGGAACUGGCGCUUGAUACGGCAGGGCUAGAGUUCCGGAGAGGAAGGCAGAAUUCCCGGUGUAGCGGUGAAAUGCGUAGAUAUCGGGAGGAAUACCAGUGGCGAAGGCGGCCUUCUGGACGGAUACUGACGCUGAGGCGCGAAAGCCAGGGGAGCAAACGGG